This 262-nucleotide ribosomal RNA is filed under the name uncultured bacterium. RNAcentral describes it as "partial 16S ribosomal RNA". It matches the Rfam family "Bacterial small subunit ribosomal RNA", at positions 793 to 1055 of the family's 1533-position model. The record is from RNAcentral.
GUCCACGCCGUAAACGGUGGGCACUAGGUGUGGGGACCAUUCCACGGUCUCUGCGCCGCAGCUAACGCAUUAAGUGCCCCGCCUGGGGAGUACGGCCGCAAGGCUAAAACUCAAAGGAAUUGACGGGGGCCCGCACAAGCGGCGGAGCAUGCGGCUUAAUUCGAUGCAACGCGAAGAACCUUACCUAGGCUUGACAUGCAGGGAAAACUGGCAGAGAUGUCAGGUCCUUACGGGCCUUGCACAGGUGGUGCAUGGCUGUCGU